CGUACUUCUAUUCUUCUUCUUCUCUCUGCCACUGCCUUACUCCCUUCAAACCCGGCGGCUACUGUCGCCGCCAGCCACCACUGCCACGGUAUCCCCUCUGUAGGCCUCGCAUCUGCCUGCCUCUCGUUCCCUCUCUAAAUCAUGAAAAAUCCCCAAAAAUCCCUAGCUUUCUCCCCUUUCAAUUUCCGACGAGAUUACCGCCUGAACCACCAUCUUCUUCUUCAGUCGACAGCAACGGUCAGCCGGACCGCCGUCAUCCUCCCUCAUCUCUCAAGCCUCUAUCACCGUCUCCCUCUCGACUCCGAUGAGCAGCCGCUAUGAAUCCCCGCCGCCUUCACCGCUUCCCUCCAUACUAAUAUAAAGAUUCGAUUUUUCCUCUUCCCUUCCAUUUCUUCACUCGAGCUCCAUCCCUGCUCUCCAACAAGACUUCACUCAAAAGGGUAUGUGGAUAUCAACUCUUCCUUUCUGAAUUAAUGAAUCAAUNUUCAUUAACUGACAUUCCGGAGUUCACGGCGGUCGUGACCACGGUUCGAGCCAUUUUACGUGAGCUUCCAUCGUCCCCUGGCCUGUCGUGCCCAUCGUGCCCACGGGCGGGGGCAAUCGACCGUCGUGGGCACGGUCGCUGGUGUCGACGGGCACGAUGGUGCGAAGAAACGACGGGCACGAUGGUGCGACCACUGCUACAAAAAUACACAUACAUAACACUGCAUACAUAACGGGUUUUUUAAAAAACCGUUAUGUAUGAGCGCAUUUUUAUAAAAGUACAACGGUUUUUACAGAAAUCCAUUAUCUAUGUAGUGUUACUCAUAAGCAUAGAUAACGGUACGAAGUAAUUCGUUAUGAAUAAGCGUUAUCUAUUAGGUGCAUACAUAACGGUGUUAUCGAACCGUUAAGAUAACCGUUAUCUAUGAGCGUAUUUUUAUUAAUGGUUGUUUUAACCGUUAUGUAUGAGCGCUAAAUACUGUUAUGAUUACUUUUAUUAUUAUUUUAAUUUAACUUUAAUAAUAUUAUAAAAAUAAAAACCCUAAUUACAUAAUUCACCUUCUUCUCCAAAGUUUGAAGUCUCACCCACCACUCUCUCUCUCUCUCGCCGUACUCCUAUCUUCUUCUUCUCUCUGCCACAGCCUUACUCCCUUCAAACCCGGCGGCUACUGUCGCCGCCAUCCACCACCGCCAUGGUAUCCCCUCUGUAGGCCUCGCAUCUGCCUGCCUCUCGUUCCCUCUCUAAAUCAUGAAAAAUCCCCAAAAAUCCCUAGCUUUCUUCCCUUUCAAUUUCCGACGAGAUUACCGCCUGAACCACCCUCUUCUUCUUCAGUCGACAGCAACGGUCAGCCGUACCGCCGUCAUCCUCCCUCAUCUCUCAAGCCUCUAUCACCGUCUCCCUCUCGACUCCGAUGAGCAGCCGCUAUGAAUCCCCGCCGCCUUCACCGCUUCCCUCCAUACUAAUAUAAAGAUUCGAUUUUUCCUCUUUCCCUUCCAUUUCUUCACUCGAGCUCCAUCCCUGCUCUCCAACAAGACUUCACUCAAAAGGGUAUGUGGAUAUCAACUCUUCCUUUCUGAAUUAAUGAAUCAAUUGGUAGUUAGA
This 1585-nucleotide long non-coding RNA is filed under the name Salvia miltiorrhiza (redroot sage). RNAcentral describes it as "long non-coding RNA (SMIL_LNC006457)". The record is from RNAcentral. Lineage: Eukaryota; Viridiplantae; Streptophyta; Magnoliopsida; Lamiales; Lamiaceae.